Molecule: unclassified non-coding RNA, 221 nt
Filed under: uncultured Solirubrobacterales bacterium
Lineage: Bacteria; Bacillati; Actinomycetota; Thermoleophilia; Solirubrobacterales
Description: contains 16S-23S intergenic spacer region
Rfam family: Bacterial small subunit ribosomal RNA
Source: RNAcentral
UGGGCUUGACAUGUUCGUGACAGGUGUGGAAACACACCCUCCCUUCGGGGCACGAUCACAGGUGGUGCAUGGCUGUCGUCAGCUCGUGUCGUGAGAUGUUGGGUUAAGUCCCGCAACGAGCGCAACCCCCGUCGCAUGUUGCCAGCAUUUAGUUGGGGACUCAUGCGAGACUGCCGGUGACAAACCGGAGGAAGGUGGGGAUGACGUAGCGGCAUUAGCCA